Molecule: long non-coding RNA, 2709 nt
Organism: Chrysolophus pictus (golden pheasant)
Lineage: Eukaryota; Metazoa; Chordata; Aves; Galliformes; Phasianidae
Source: Ensembl
UGGUGGUGGUGUAUUGGUGGUGGUGGUGUAUUGGUGGUGUUGGUGUGCUGCGCGCACCGCCUUCGUGCGCCGGCGUCGCGUCCGUCCGCCCCCCUGCCGGGGCUGAGUGCUGCCUGCAGCGCUGCGCCGGUCCUGAGAGAAAGGCCCGGGACGGUUUGCAGUGGUUCGAAUCAGAGCUGCUGGUAACGGCAGAUCUCUGGACAGGACAACGCGCUGCCCUGCAGCACUGCCCCUCUCAGGUCUUUCUGUGCUUUUUUUUAAUGUUUGUCUGUUCAGUUUUUCACUUUCGCCUCCUAGAAGCCAGUGAAAGAGGAGUGCUCACCUGUGCGAGAAGCUGUAUCAAGUGACAAGGGCAGCACAAAGAAAACACAGCAGGAACUGGAUGUUUCCAAACCAGAACAGGACUGGGGCUCCAGCAAUAGUGUGAAACCUACGGCCCAGCUGCAGAGUGAGAAAGAACUGGGUUCCAUGGGUGAAUGCAGUGCAGCAGGCCCCACAGAUCUAGGGGCUGUCACAGGUAAAAGCACUGACAAAAGAUGCAGUGCCCCAGCAGAGAGCAAGGAGUGGCAGAACAGCAGCAGCGUUUCAUCUGUAUGGGACAGCACUGACCUGGAACCAGGCUCCCUCAAAGCCUGUCUGGAAAUUCCACUUAUGGAUGUAAAGGAGCUUCCCCGAACUCGGCCUGGCCUCCAGUCCUUCAGAAAUCACUUGAUCAUGGAGCUGCUGUGGUUGCAACAAGCUAUUGACAGCCGUAAAAAUUACCUGAAGCUGAAACAGAGGCUGGAGUCUCCUAACAACUCAGAAGGCAGCCUGAGCGUGUGGGAUGUUUUGUACUGCUGUGGAGGAGCAGAGGAGCUGCAGCACCAAAGUCACAACAUGAUUUCACAGACAGCAGCACCCUGAGGGAACUCCAGCUCUGUGAGCUGAUGUUCUAAUCAGAUUCAUGUGGCAAAAGACUUCUGUUUCUUUUAAAUGUGAAUAUUUGGUCAAAGCAGGAAUUAAGUGACACUAUGACACUAAGGAGGUUGUGUGUCUUGGAGAGAGUCCUCCUUCCACAAGAACCCAUCCUAAGGGUAAAUUGAGGCUGGGAAAAUUGUCACAAAAGUUCCACUUUGACCAGCUCGUUGCUUGUGGUGCAAUUAAAAUGCCAGAAGGCUACAGGUGCCUUGAAUCUGUAGGAUUAAAUUCUUCUCCACUCAGCUGUGGAUGACGUGCACCAGUAUGUGAACUGUGUUUUUCUGUACAUCACCACUCUGCAAUGUCUGGGGUCUCCAAGUGCCUGUUUUCACCCAGGGCAACCUGUUCAGUGCAAGGGGCAGUGUAUCUGCCAUGGUGUGGAUGUUUGUCCAUGUGCAGAAUGGAAACCUGCUGCACAUGUCAUGCAGGUAGCAAGUGAUGGCAAGGGGAUGACAGCUUCAGGGUAUUGGUACUCUGGAUGACGUGCAAGCUGCUGCCAAAGAUACUGGCACCUCUGAACUGCUUCAUUUGAACCUGUUGGCCAUGGUAGUUAGCAUGGGGUGAGGGUAAGGUUUAAAGAGCUGUGUGGUUCCUGGUUCUCACAUGGCAGUAUUUGCAGGUUGUUUGAUGUGGCCUUCAGCCUGGCCCACAGCUUCCUCCUGCUGCAGCCGUGGUGACGGACAGUUGCUCAGGGGACUGAUGAGGAGGGACAGCAAAACACAAAGGCUGGUCAGAAGGGCGUAGGCUCAGUGGGAGACCUGCUGCAGCUCUCCUCUGUGCUCUGUGUUGGUCUGUCUGCCUCUCUGACCCAUGGGGAAUGAGCUCCCGUGGCUUAGCUCUGGCUCGUCCAGCCAAGAACGUGGUGGUGUAUCGCAACGGUGACCCCUUCUUCCACGGGAGGAAGUUUGUAGUGAACCAGCGGCAGUUCCUGACCUUUGAGGCAUUUCUGAAUGAGGUGACCAAGAGCAUUCAUGCACCCUUGGCUGUGAGGAGUCUCUACACACCCAAGCAUGGCCAUCGCGUUGCUGAACUGGCUGACCUGCAGGAUGGGUGCCAGUACGUGGCUGCAGGCUUUGAAAAGUUCAAAAGGCUCGAGUGAGUAGAUGGUCCUUUUGUCUCUGGGUUUGGUAAGCGGUUAUAGUAUUUUGAGGUGUAAAUGGAGGGGGGUGGAAAGGGCAAGUAGGUCAAAAGGAUGCAAACCCAAAGAAAAACAUAGAUUAGUUUCUUUUCCUAGUGGAAUUUACUGGAUGUAUUUCAGGUUGCUUAGGAAAUGUGCAUAUUCCUGACAAAGUCACUGACUCUUGAAAGAAAAAAUGCUGCGAGAGAUGUGCAGCCUCCAGCUGGCUGUGUGUGAUUGGUGCUGCUUUGCCUUGCAUGCACCUUGUUUUGUGGUGUGUGGGAGGUUCUAGCAGAGUUGCCAGCCACAGUUUCCGCUCUGAUAAGUAUUGUUUCUUUGGUUUAGUGGAGGUUUCUUUUGUUUUCUAAUUCUGCGUGAAGUAGAGCUGUUUAGGUUCAUCCUGAAAUACAGAGGGCUGAGAGAUUCAUGGCAUCGCUUCGUCUUGAGGGAAUGUGUGAGAUAUGUGUGCGUUGGGUGAAUUUGGCUCCCUGACUGCAUACUGCAUCCUGUUGAGGAGGUGCUCCAGGCUGGAUUAAGCAGUAGUCAGUCCUUGUAACAGCAGUCGGUCCUUGGAGCCUUAUCAUUGUUUAGCUCAAAGGAAUAAAAUAUUCUGGAUGUCUUGGUCUGUGUUUGAC